RNAcentral lists this ribosomal RNA (372 nucleotides) under uncultured organism. RNAcentral describes it as "partial 16S ribosomal RNA". It matches the Rfam family "Bacterial small subunit ribosomal RNA", at positions 527 to 896 of the family's 1533-position model. The record is from RNAcentral.
GUAGGUGGCAAGCGUUGUCCGGAAUUAUUGGGCGUAAAGCGCGCGCAGGCGGUUCUUUAAGUCUGAUGUGAAAGCCCACGGGCUCAACCGUGGAGGGUCAUUGGAAACUGGAGAACUUGAGUACAGAAGAGGAAAGCGGAAUUCCGCGUGUAGCGGUGAAAUGCGUAGAGAUGUGGAGGAACACCAGUGGCGAAGGCGGCUUUCUGGUCUGUAACUGACGCUGAGGCGCGAAAGCGUGGGGAGCAAACAGGAUUAGAUACCCUGGUAGUCCACGCCGUAAACGAUGAGUGCUAAGUGUUAGGGGGUUUCCGCCCCUUAGUGCUGCAGCUAACGCAUUAAGCACUCCGCCUGGGGAGUACGGCCGCAAGGCUA